GCAAGUCGAGCGGGCAUCUUCGGAUGUCAGCGGCAGACGGGUGAGUAACACGUGGGAACGUACCCUUCGGUUCGGAAUAACGCUGGGAAACUAGCGCUAAUACCGGAUACGCCCUUUUGGGGAAAGGUUUACUGCCGAAGGAUCGGCCCGCGUCUGAUUAGCUAGUUGGUGGGGUAACGGCCUACCAAGGCGACGAUCAGUAGCUGGUCUGAGAGGAUGAUCAGCCACACUGGGACUGAGACACGGCCCAGACUCCUACGGGAGGCAGCAGUGGGGAAUAUUGGACAAUGGGCGCAAGCCUGAUCCAGCCAUGCCGCGUGAGUGAUGAAGGCCUUAGGGUUGUAAAGCUCUUUUGUCCGGGACGAUAAUGACGGUACCGGAAGAAUAAGCCCCGGCUAACUUCGUGCCAGCAGCCGCGGUAAUACGAAGGGGGCUAGCGUUGCUCGGAAUCACUGGGCGUAAAGGGCGCGUAGGCGGCCAUUCAAGUCGGGGGUGAAAGCCUGUGGCUCAACCACAGAAUUGCCUUCGAUACUGUUUGGCUUGAGUAUGGUAGAGGUUGGUGGAACUGCGAGUGUAGAGGUGAAAUUCGUAGAUAUUCGCAAGAACACCGGUGGCGAAGGCGGCCAACUGGACCAUUACUGACGCUGAGGCGCGAAAGCGUGGGGAGCAAACAGGAUUAGAU
This 682-nucleotide ribosomal RNA is filed under the name Methylobacterium sp. PDD-7b-5. RNAcentral's name for it is "bacterial SSU rRNA". It matches the Rfam family "Bacterial small subunit ribosomal RNA", at positions 57 to 783 of the family's 1533-position model. The record is from RNAcentral. Lineage: Bacteria; Pseudomonadati; Pseudomonadota; Alphaproteobacteria; Hyphomicrobiales; Methylobacteriaceae.